GGAAACUAGGGGUGCUUCCAUCUGAAGAAUCUGGAGACAGGUGCUGCAUGGCUGUCGUCAGCUCGUGUCGUGAGAUGUUGGGUUAAGUCCCGCAACGAGCGCAACCCUUGCCUUUAGUUGCCAGCAGUUCGGCUGGGCACUCUAAAGGGACUGCCGGUGUUAAACCGGAGGAAGGUGGGGAUGACGUCAAGUCCUCAUGGCCUUUAUGACCAGGGCUACACACGUACUACAAUGGCCGAUACAAAGGGCAGCGACACUGCGAGGUGAAGCCAAUCCCGUAAAAUCGGUCUCAGUCCGGAUUGGAGUCUGCAACUCGACUCCAUGAAGUUGGAAUCGCUAGUAAUCGUGGAUCAGCAUGCCACGGUGAAUACGUUCCCGGGCCUU
Molecule: ribosomal RNA, 384 nt
Filed under: uncultured Desulfobulbus sp.
Lineage: Bacteria; Pseudomonadati; Thermodesulfobacteriota; Desulfobulbia; Desulfobulbales; Desulfobulbaceae
Description: bacterial SSU rRNA
Rfam family: Bacterial small subunit ribosomal RNA
Source: RNAcentral